This 874-nucleotide ribosomal RNA is filed under the name uncultured bacterium. RNAcentral describes it as "bacterial SSU rRNA". It matches the Rfam family "Bacterial small subunit ribosomal RNA", at positions 8 to 879 of the family's 1533-position model. The record is from RNAcentral.
AGAGUUUGAUCCUGGCUCAGAUUGAACGCUGGCGGUAUGCUUAACACAUGCAAGUCGAACGGUAACAGGCCUUCGGGCGCUGACGAGUGGCGGACGGGUGCGUAACGCGUAGGAAUCUGCCUGUUAGUGGGGGACAACUUGGGGAAACUCAAGCUAAUACCGCAUACGCCCUACGGGGGAAAGCGGGGGACCUUCGGGCCUCGCGCUAACAGAUGAGCCUGCGUUGGAUUAGCUAGUUGGUAGGGUAAAGGCCUACCAAGGCGACGAUCCAUAGCUGGUCUGAGAGGACGAUCAGCCACACUGGGACUGAGACACGGCCCAGACUCCUACGGGAGGCAGCAGUGGGGAAUAUUGGACAAUGGGCGCAAGCCUGAUCCAGCAAUACCGCGUGUGUGAAGAAGGCCCUAGGGUUGUAAAGCACUUUCAAUGGGGAGGAAAACCUGCCGGUCAAUACCCGGUAGCUUGACAUUACCUAUAGAAGAAGCACCGGCUAACUCCGUGCCAGCAGCCGCGGUAAUACGGAGGGUGCGAGCGUUAAUCGGAAUUACUGGGCGUGAAGCGUGCGUAGGCGGCUCGUUAAGUCAGAUGUGAAAGCCCUGGGCUCAACCUGGGAACUGCAUUUGAAACUGGCGAGCUCGAGUUGAGUAGAGGGGAGUGGAAUUUCAGGUGUAGCGGUGAAAUGCGUAGAUAUCUGAAGGAACACCAGUGGCGAAGGCGACUCCCUGGACUCAAACUGACGCUGAGGUACGAAAGCGUGGGUAGCAAACAGGAUUAGAUACCCUGGUAGUCCACGCUGUAAACGAUGUCAACUAGCCGUUGGUCCUAUAUACAGGAUUAGUGGCGCAGCUAACGCAUUAAGUUGACCGCCUGGGGA